RNAcentral lists this ribosomal RNA (677 nucleotides) under uncultured marine group I thaumarchaeote. RNAcentral's name for it is "bacterial SSU rRNA". It matches the Rfam family "Archaeal small subunit ribosomal RNA", at positions 321 to 999 of the family's 1478-position model. Lineage: Archaea; Thermoproteati; Nitrososphaerota. The record is from RNAcentral.
CCCUAUGGGGUGCAGCAGGCGAGAAAACUUUGCAAUGUGCGCAAGCACGACAAGGUUAAUCCGAGUGUUUCCUGCUAAAGGAAUCUUUUGUUAGUCCUAAAAACACUAGCGAAUAAGGGGUGGGCAAGUUCUGGUGUCAGCCGCCGCGGUAAAACCAGCACCUCAAGUGGUCAGGAGGAUUAUUGGGCCUAAAGCAUCCGUAGCCUGCUUUGUAAGUUUCCGGUUAAAUCCAUUAGCUCAACUGAUGGGCCGCCGGAAAAACUGCAAAGCUAGGGAGUGGGAGAGGUAGACGGUACUCGGUAGGAAGGGGUAAAAUCCUUUGAUCUAUUGAUGACCACCUGUGGCGAAGGCGGUCUACCAGAACACGUUCGACGGUGAGGGAUGAAAGCUGGGGGAGCAAACCGGAUUAGAUACCCGGGUAGUCCCAGCUGUAAACGAUGCAGACUCGGUGAUGCCCUGGCUUGUGGCCAGUGCAGUGCCGCAGGGAAGCCGUUAAGUUUGCCGCCUGGGAAGUACGUACGCAAGUAUGAAACUUAAAGGAAUUGGCGGGGGAGCACCACAAGGGGUGAAGCCUGCGGUUCAAUUGGAGUCAACGCCAGAAAUCUUACCCGAAGAGACAGCAGAAUGAAGGUCAAGCUGGAGACUUUACCAGACAAGCUGAGAAGUAGUGCAUGGCC